This is a long non-coding RNA of Ostrea edulis (European flat oyster), 1230 nucleotides long. RefSeq lists it as uncharacterized. Lineage: Eukaryota; Metazoa; Mollusca; Bivalvia; Ostreida; Ostreidae. The transcript has 2 exons. The record is from RefSeq and is a predicted model, not a curated record.
AUUUCGUUAUAGUUCGUUACCAAAGAUCUAAACCGGAAACUGGACCGUUACCCAUCCACGUUUUAUUACUACAUCUGUCUAUUACAAUUUACAUUAUUUAAUUUAAACAGUAUUUUAUUAUGAAAAUCCACAAUAGGAUUGGACAGCAGGCACUGCCUAUAUAGGUCCUCUCCGUACAUACUCCGUAGUGUACAAUUUUCUGGGACUACUUUCCCUACAAAUAAAGACACUAUCGCAGGCUUUUCGAACUUCUACAGAAAAGCGCAGCAAGUAUAUUGGAGAUGUAGCGUAACGGAUUAUAGUGAGGUGACCGGAGCUUGUUUUAUUGUAAACCCCGUACAAUAGAUCCCCCAUCAUCAGUCCAGGAAGUGGUUGUGUUUGUUUGCUGGCCUGUUGUGUACGUGAUCUGCCUUCUGAAUGAGCGCUAUUUGUCUAGUUAAUGGACACUUGACAUAGAAACUCCGAAACAGAAUCCGCAUUGUCAUGCAGUUAAUUAAGGGAAUCUAGGACUUUGAAGUCACACGUUCCAAAAUAUGAACACAGAUUAUGAAAAACCAAAAAAUAAUGAAAUUUUAAAAUACAGGGAUGAGUAUUUUGUCAACGAAACGCCCAACGUGCGUUGAUGCACAGAGUGUCUUAAUGAUCAAUAUAUGCAAAUCAGCAUUGUGGGAGUUUUAUCAUGAAUAAAUCAAAAUCCUGUUCAUCCUUUGAAAUCAAAAGCUAUAUGUGUUGUACUCAUUGAAAACGAGCCGCUUUUUCUAUUAAGAUUUUGAAUAAUUUGUGUGUGCGCAAGUACUUCAUAUUAGUUGCUGUAACCUAGCUUUUCUGUACCAGACAAACCGACACAGGAAUGUUGGGUAAUUUAACGCGCCUUCUAUCAUGACGGAACACCUUUUCCUGUCCUGAAAUAAAAAUGAUAAUUGAAUUAUGAUGUGAAUCAUAUAGGACUCCAAAAGUCGAGUCUCUAGACGGAGGAAACGCUCAAAACACAUAAUCAAAAUAGACCCGAGGGUUUGAUAAAAAUGUGUUUUUAUUAACGAAUUAUGACUUUUAUAUAGAAAAUUCAGAAUGACGCUUGACGUAAAAUGGAUAGGAUUUCGUGAAAAAUGCUGUUUAUUGCCUUCUCUCGUGUGCGUUUUAUUUCUGUAUAGUGUUAAAAAGGUUCACCAUACUUCAAAUCCUCAAAAACUCUUUUACCAUACAUUGACACGGAAUAAAUCUGGACCUUGU